GGCAGGUUACUAANCAACAACUGACGCUGAUGGACGAAAGCGUGGGGAGCGAACAGGAUUAGAUNCCNUGGUANNNACGCCGUAAACGAUGCUAACUCGUUUUUGGAAUGUAAGUUUCAGAGACUAAGCGAAAGUGAUAAGUUAGCCACCUGGGGAGUACGAACGCAAGUUUGAAACUCAAAGGAAUUGACGGGGGCCCGCACAAGCGGUGGAUUAUGUGGUUUAAUUCGAUGAUACGCGAGGAACCUUACCAAGGCUUAAAUGGGAAAUGACAGGUUUAGAAAUAGACUUUUCUUCGGACAUUUUUCAAGGUGCUGCAUGGUUGUCGUCAGCUCGUGCCGUGAGGUGUUAGGUUAAGUCCUGCAACGAGCGCAACCCCUGUCACUAGUUGCCAUCAUUAAGUUGGGGACUCUAGUGAGACUGCCUACGCAAGUAGAGAGGAAGGUGGGGAUGACGUCAAAUCAUCACGGCCCUUACGCCUUGGGCCACACACGUAAUACAAUGGCCGGUACAGAGGGCAGCUACACUGCGAAGUGAUGCAAAUCUCGAAAGCCGGUCUCAGUUCGGAUUGGAGUCUGCAACUCGACUCUAUGAAGCUGGAAUCGCUAGUAAUCGCGCAUCAGCCAUGGCGCGGUGAAUACGUUCCCGGGCCUUGUACACACCGCCCGUCAAGCCAUGGAAGUCUGGGGUACCUGAAGUCGGUGACCGUAACAGGAGCUGCCUAGGGUAAAACAGGUAACUAGGGCU
This 747-nucleotide ribosomal RNA is filed under the name uncultured prokaryote. Its description in RNAcentral is "bacterial SSU rRNA". It matches the Rfam family "Bacterial small subunit ribosomal RNA", at positions 720 to 1482 of the family's 1533-position model. The record is from RNAcentral.